RNAcentral lists this RNase P RNA (386 nucleotides) under Pseudomonadota bacterium. RNAcentral's name for it is "RNase P RNA component class A". It matches the Rfam family "Bacterial RNase P class A". From Rfam's summary of the family: Ribonuclease P (RNase P) is a ubiquitous endoribonuclease, found in archaea, bacteria and eukarya as well as chloroplasts and mitochondria. Its best characterised activity is the generation of mature 5'-ends of tRNAs by cleaving the 5'-leader elements of precursor-tRNAs. Lineage: Bacteria; Pseudomonadati; Pseudomonadota. The record is from RNAcentral.
GCAGCCGCUCAGGCGAUCGCUCGGCGCCUCGAGCGCCGGGAGGAAAGUCCGGGCUCCGCAGGGCAAGAUGCCGGGUAACGCCCGGUGAGGGUGACCUCGAGGAAAGUGCCACAGAAAACGACGAAACCGCCGGCGCGACGCGUGCGUCCCGCCGGUAAGGGUGAAACGGUGGAGUAAGAGCCCACCGCGCGGCCGGUAACGGUCGCGGCACGGCAAACCCCAUCUGGAGCAAGGCCAUGUAGAGGGGCGUUCGAGGGCUGCCCGCCCGAGCCCCUGGGUAGGCCGCACGAGGCGCGCGGUGACGCGCGUCCCAGAGGAAUGACCGCCGUGCACGGAGGAGCAAUCCUCCGUGCAUCACAGAACCCGGCUUACGGGCGACUGCGACC